This 254-nucleotide ribosomal RNA is filed under the name uncultured bacterium. RNAcentral describes it as "partial 16S ribosomal RNA". It matches the Rfam family "Bacterial small subunit ribosomal RNA", at positions 524 to 776 of the family's 1533-position model. The record is from RNAcentral.
UACGUAGGGGGCGAGCGUUGUCCGGAUUUAUUGGGCGUAAAGAGCUCGUAGGCGGUUCGAUAAGUCGGACGUGAAAUCUCCACGCUCAACGUGGAGGGGCCGUUCGAUACUGUCGUGACUCGAGUCCGGUAGGGGAGUGUGGAAUUCCCGGUGUAGCGGUGAAAUGCGCAGAUAUCGGGAGGAACACCAAUUGCGAAGGCAGCUCGCUGGGACGUCACUGACGCUGAGACGCGAAAGCGUGGGGAGCAAACAGG